GAACCUGUUCCUGCCUCAUCUGUAUAAUUUGACUGCUUUCACAUCUCUGAUUUGGGACCAGCAUACAAGGUGAAAACAAACAACAACCAACAAAACCCUUAUUAUCUCACGUGGAGGACAAAUGUCAAAGGAUACCUAAGAAAACCCUAAUGAAAAGAAAAAAUACAUAGAGGAGAAGAGGUGGCAAAAAGUUCAGAAGAAUGUUACACUCAGUCCUAGUAGGGCACUGAGGGGAUCCAAAGCCAAGC
Callorhinus ursinus (northern fur seal) is the source of this 248-nucleotide long non-coding RNA. RefSeq lists it as uncharacterized. NCBI's taxonomy places the organism in Eukaryota, Metazoa, Chordata, Mammalia, Carnivora, Otariidae. The record is from RefSeq and is a predicted model, not a curated record.